UACGGAGGGUGCGAGCGUUGUCCGGAAUCACUGGGCGUAAAGGGCGCGUAGGUGGCCGAGCAAGGUUGCGGUGAAAGCCCGGGGCUCAACCCCGGGUCGGCCGUGGCAACUACUCGGCUUGAGCACUGUAGGGGCGGGAGGAAUUCCGGGUGUAGCGGUGGAAUGCGUAGAGAUCCGGAAGAACACCGGUGGCGAAGGCGGAUCUCUGGGCCUUACCUGACGCUGAGGCGCGAAAGCUAGGGGAGCAAACAGG
This 253-nucleotide ribosomal RNA is filed under the name uncultured bacterium. RNAcentral describes it as "partial 16S ribosomal RNA". It matches the Rfam family "Bacterial small subunit ribosomal RNA", at positions 524 to 776 of the family's 1533-position model. The record is from RNAcentral.